This 253-nucleotide ribosomal RNA is filed under the name uncultured bacterium. Its description in RNAcentral is "partial 16S ribosomal RNA". It matches the Rfam family "Bacterial small subunit ribosomal RNA", at positions 524 to 776 of the family's 1533-position model. The record is from RNAcentral.
UACGGAGGGUGCAAGCGUUAAUCGGAAUUACUGGGCGUAAAGGGCGCGUAGGUGGUUUGGUAAGUUGGCUGUGAAAUUCCUGGGCUUAACCUGGGGUGGUCAGCCAAUACUGUCAAGCUAGAGUACGAGAGAGGGUAGUGGAAUUUCAGGUGUAGCGGUGAAAUGCGUAGAUAUCUGAAGGAACACCAGUGGCGAAGGCGACUACCUGGCUCGAUACUGACACUGAGGCGCGAAAGCGUGGGGAGCAAACAGG